GGGAAUGUGGCUUAGUGGUAGAGUACUUGCCUAGCAUGCAUGAAGCCCUGGUUCAAUUCCCCAGUACCA
This 69-nucleotide transfer RNA is filed under the name Dipodomys ordii (Ord's kangaroo rat). It matches the Rfam family "tRNA". From Rfam's summary of the family: Transfer RNA (tRNA) molecules are approximately 80 nucleotides in length. Their secondary structure includes four short double-helical elements and three loops (D, anti-codon, and T loops). The record is from Rfam by way of RNAcentral. Lineage: Eukaryota; Metazoa; Chordata; Mammalia; Rodentia; Heteromyidae.